CUCCUACACUGAAACAAGUACAGCCAAGUUACGAUCGGGAAAAACAUUCUGCAAUUGCAUUACCCAUGCUCUUAUUGGGAAAAAAAAAACCAUAAAUAAAAAAUCGUUAGAAACAUGGUAAAAAAAAUUAUUUAAACGAAACUAGAAUUCACACGAGCCUAUGGCAAAAAACUAUUAAACCUUUCCAUCAAAAGAAAUGCAAGAAGGAGGGCUCAAGCUUGUAUACUCAUUUUAUCUGCUUCUUUCUCUCUCCGUAAUACGGAUUUUUCAUCAUCCUGCACAACAAAAUUUCAUAUGUCAAAGACACUGUGUAUAACAUAUAAAUUUGAACACUAUCUCAUCGAGCACAAAUAUUUUUCGUCGGCUCGAUUAGCCAAAAAGAUAGAACACAUAAGAGAAAUCCCAUCCACUUGAUCCUCAAAUUUCAAACCAUCGAUUCAAAAUAUUGAUCAAAAUUGCACAAUAAUAUAUGCAUAUGUUCUUCAACAAACUAACAAAUCAUCAUCAUCAUCACUCUACAUUAAAAAAAAAAAACACAUAAUCCAGACAUGACUAUAUGUUACUAUAUAUGACUAAGACAUGACUAUAUGUUACUAUAUAUGACUAUAGUAACAUGUAGUAACAUUACUAUAUAUGACUAUAGUCAUCCAUAGUGUCCUAUAGUCUGAAUGAAUUUCACUUCAUAGCACAAUUUUCUCCAUAAUUCCUUACUGUAUAGAAGUAGCAAAAACAACAAUCCAUGUGACAAAAAAAUACGAGUUAGAGAAAAAGAACAUAAAAAUGGAAAAUGCAAUUAUGCACAUUUGAGAGUUGACUUUUAAGGACAUAAUAACCAUUAGACACUUCAACCAAUAACAGAGAAAACCACAUCAUUUGCAUCUUCAAACUCCAAACCUACAUUGAGUGUCUCUAUUUUGUUUGGAAGCAAAGAAACACAAUAAGAUCGGACUUCUGAUUCCCACAUUACACUUAAAAAUAGUGUUCUCAACAAAAUAAAAAAUAAAAUCCUAGAUCUAGUGUAUUUCACCAACAAUCAACCAUAAAUAAACAUGUAUGAUGCUUAAUAUAUACACACAUACACACGUUUUAAUGCGUGUAAUAUGUAAGUAGAGAAGAACUGUAAGAGAGUGUACCAGAGAAGGGUGAUUUAAGAUCACUGAAAUCGAUGUCGAGAAUAAAAAAAAAAGUAUUUGAAAUCGGAUCAAUAGUUUCUCAGUAGCGGCGGCGAUUGGAGGGGUCCAAGGCGAACGGAUCCGCCGGAGAAGAACGGAUCUAUGAGGUUUGAACAUGUCCGACGCCAUUGAUACGACACCGUUCUUCAUCUUCUCCGUCGAAUCGAAGAGCGGCGCUUGCGAAAUCAUGCGGAUUUGCGAAGGGUGGAUCG
This 1384-nucleotide long non-coding RNA is filed under the name Erythranthe guttata (spotted monkey flower). RNAcentral's name for it is "long non-coding RNA (EGUT_LNC002313)". Lineage: Eukaryota; Viridiplantae; Streptophyta; Magnoliopsida; Lamiales; Phrymaceae. The record is from RNAcentral.